AGAAUGCGUAGUGGGGCUCCCAUGCCCUGUGUUCGUUUUGAUGCUACCCUGCUCUUGAUUUUGUGCUUCUAAAUGUGAACAGAUCCGCAUCUGUAGUUAAGUUUAAACGAACGAGGACAAAUGUAUUCGGUCUACAUUCGAAAUGGACAUAUUUAUUCACCAGACAAGCACAACUAGGUGGAAUAAAUGAGCUAUCCGCAUGUACGAUAGCCAUGAGGCUAACGUUUCAGCUCAGAAGUGACUAGAAAGUAAAGCACCGGAAACAAGAAAUCUGACCACUUUAAACAUCUGAAUUCAUCUACAGCCCUUCUGAGAGCAGCUACUUACAAACAGCAGUGAAAGCUGGAGAAGCUGAGGUGAAAUAAGAGCAAACCACACCGAGACAAGCUCAGCAAAGAUGCCAGGGAGCGUUAUUUGGAUAAAUGAUCAUCUGUUAUGGCAACGAUGAGCUAAGCUGGUUGCAAGCGGGUGGAACAGCGAUCGUGUUUGUAAUUGUUCAUGCUGCUUUUUGUCUGUGUCUAUUUACAAGCACAAAUAAAGUACAUAUAAAUUUUA
This is a long non-coding RNA of Trichomycterus rosablanca, 555 nucleotides long. RefSeq lists it as uncharacterized. The transcript is spliced from 2 exons. Lineage: Eukaryota; Metazoa; Chordata; Actinopteri; Siluriformes; Trichomycteridae. The record is from RefSeq and is a predicted model, not a curated record.